GCCAACGUGGUGUAGUGGUUUGAGCAUUGGACUAUGAAUCUAGAGAUCUGGGUUUGACUCCCUUCUUGGCC
Phrynosoma platyrhinos (Desert horned lizard) is the source of this 71-nucleotide non-coding RNA. Lineage: Eukaryota; Metazoa; Chordata; Lepidosauria; Squamata; Phrynosomatidae. The record is from the annotation of a GenBank genome assembly.